UAACGCGUGGAUAACCUGCCGUAUACAGGGGGAUAACACUUAGAAAUAGGUGCUAAUACCGCAUAAGCGCACGGUUCCGCAUGGAACAGUGUGAAAAACUCCGGUGGUAUACGAUGGAUCCGCGUCUGAUUAGCCAGUUGGCGGGGUAACGGCCCACCAAAGCGACGAUCAGUAGCCGGCCUGAGAGGGUGAACGGCCACAUUGGGACUGAGACACGGCCCAAACUCCUACGGGAGGCAGCAGUGGGGAAUAUUGCACAAUGGGGGAAACCCUGAUGCAGCGACGCCGCGUGAGUGAAGAAGUAUUUCGGUACGUAAAGCUCUAUCAGCAGGGAAGAAAAAAAGUCCUUUGGACUUUGGACGGUACCUGACUAAGAAGCCCCGGCUAACUACGUGCCAGCAGCCGCGGUAAUACGUAGGGGGCAAGCGUUAUCCGGAUUUACUGGGUGUAAAGGGAGCGUAGACGGCAGCGCAAGUCUGGAGUGAAAUGCCGGGGCCCAACCCCGGAACUGCUUUGGAAACUGUGCAGCUGGAGUGCAGGAGAGGUAAGCGGAAUUCCUAGUGUAGCGGUGAAAUGCGUAGAUAUUAGGAGGAACACCAGUGGCGAAGGCGGCUUACUGGACUGUAACUGACGUUGAGGCUCGAAAGCGUGGGGAGCAAACAGGAUUAGAUACCCUGGUAGU
Molecule: ribosomal RNA, 682 nt
Filed under: uncultured bacterium
Lineage: Bacteria
Description: bacterial SSU rRNA
Rfam family: Bacterial small subunit ribosomal RNA
Source: RNAcentral